This 253-nucleotide ribosomal RNA is filed under the name uncultured bacterium. Its description in RNAcentral is "partial 16S ribosomal RNA". It matches the Rfam family "Bacterial small subunit ribosomal RNA", at positions 524 to 776 of the family's 1533-position model. The record is from RNAcentral.
GACGGAGGGGGCUAGCGUUGUUCGGAAUUACUGGGCGUAAAGAGCGCGUAGGCGGCAUAGCAAGUUGGAAGUGAAAGCCCGGGGCUUAACCUCGGAACUGCUUUCAAAACUGCUAGGCUAGAGUAUGGUAGAGGGUGAUAGAAUUCCUAGUGUAGAGGUGAAAUUCUUAGAUAUUAGGAGGAAUACCGGUGGCGAAGGCGGUCACCUGGGCCAUUACUGACGCUGAGGCGCGAAAGCGUGGGGAGCAAACAGG